This 253-nucleotide ribosomal RNA is filed under the name uncultured bacterium. RNAcentral describes it as "partial 16S ribosomal RNA". It matches the Rfam family "Bacterial small subunit ribosomal RNA", at positions 524 to 776 of the family's 1533-position model. The record is from RNAcentral.
UACGAAGGGUGCAAGCGUUACUCGGAAUUACUGGGCGUAAAGCGUGCGUAGGUGGUGAGUUAAGUCUGUCGUGAAAGCCCCGGGCUCAACCUGGGAAUGGCGAUGGAUACUGGCUCGCUAGAGUGCGGUAGAGGAGAGUGGAAUUCCCGGUGUAGCAGUGAAAUGCGUAGAGAUCGGGAGGAACAUCAGUUGCGAAGGCGGCUCUCUGGACCAGCACUGACACUGAGGCGCGAAAGCGUGGGGAGCAAACAGG